AGUGAACGCUGGCGGUAGGCCUAACACAUGCAAGUCGAACGGCAGCACAGUAAGAGCUUGCUCUUACGGGUGGCGAGUGGCGGACGGGUGAGGAAUACAUCGGAAUCUACUUUUUCGUGGGGGAUAACGUAGGGAAACUUACGCUAAUACCGCAUACGACCUACGGGUGAAAGCAGGGGAUCUUCGGACCUUGCGCGAUUGAAUGAGCCGAUGUCGGAUUAGCUAGUUGGCGGGGUAAAGGCCCACCAAGGCGACGAUCCGUAGCUGGUCUGAGAGGAUGAUCAGCCACACUGGAACUGAGACACGGUCCAGACUCCUACGGGAGGCAGCAGUGGGGAAUAUUGGACAAUGGGCGCAAGCCUGAUCCAGCCAUACCGCGUGGGUGAAGAAGGCCUUCGGGUUGUAAAGCCCUUUUGUUGGGAAAGAAAAGCAGCAGGUUAAUAAACCGCUGUUCUGACGGUACCCAAAGAAUAAGCACCGGCUAACUUCGUG
This 492-nucleotide ribosomal RNA is filed under the name uncultured bacterium. RNAcentral describes it as "partial 16S ribosomal RNA". It matches the Rfam family "Bacterial small subunit ribosomal RNA", at positions 29 to 507 of the family's 1533-position model. The record is from RNAcentral.